RNAcentral lists this ribosomal RNA (2902 nucleotides) under Klebsiella pneumoniae. RNAcentral describes it as "23S ribosomal RNA". It matches the Rfam family "Bacterial large subunit ribosomal RNA". Lineage: Bacteria; Pseudomonadati; Pseudomonadota; Gammaproteobacteria; Enterobacterales; Enterobacteriaceae. The record is from RNAcentral.
GGUUAAGCGACUAAGCGUACACGGUGGAUGCCCUGGCAGUCAGAGGCGAUGAAGGACGUGCUAAUCUGCGAAAAGCGUCGGUAAGGUGAUAUGAACCGUUAUAGCCGGCGAUGUCCGAAUGGGGAAACCCAGUGCAAUUCGUUGCACUAUCGUUAACUGAAUACAUAGGUUAACGAGGCGAACCGGGGGAACUGAAACAUCUAAGUACCCCGAGGAAAAGAAAUCAACCGAGAUUCCCCCAGUAGCGGCGAGCGAACGGGGAGCAGCCCAGAGUCUGAAUCAGCUUGUGUGUUAGUGGAACGGUCUGGAAAGUCCGACGGUACAGGGUGAUAGUCCCGUACACCAAAAUGCACAGGCUGUGAACUCGAAGAGUAGGGCGGGACACGUGGUAUCCUGUCUGAAUAUGGGGGGACCAUCCUCCAAGGCUAAAUACUCCUGACUGACCGAUAGUGAACCAGUACCGUGAGGGAAAGGCGAAAAGAACCCCGGCGAGGGGAGUGAAAAAGAACCUGAAACCGUGUACGUACAAGCAGUGGGAGCACCUUCGGGUGUGACUGCGUACCUUUUGUAUAAUGGGUCAGCGACUUAUAUUCUGUAGCAAGGUUAACCGUAUAGGGGAGCCGCAGGGAAACCGAGUCUUAACUGGGCGUUAAGUUGCAGGGUAUAGACCCGAAACCCGGUGAUCUAGCCAUGGGCAGGUUGAAGGUUGGGUAACACUAACUGGAGGACCGAACCGACUAAUGUUGAAAAAUUAGCGGAUGACUUGUGGCUGGGGGUGAAAGGCCAAUCAAACCGGGAGAUAGCUGGUUCUCCCCGAAAGCUAUUUAGGUAGCGCCUCGUGAACUCAUCUUCGGGGGUAGAGCACUGUUUCGGCUAGGGGGUCAUCCCGACUUACCAACCCGAUGCAAACUACGAAUACCGAAGAAUGUUAUCACGGGAGACACACGGCGGGUGCUAACGUCCGUCGUGAAGAGGGAAACAACCCAGACCGCCAGCUAAGGUCCCAAAGUCAUGGUUAAGUGGGAAACGAUGUGGGAAGGCACAGACAGCCAGGAUGUUGGCUUAGAAGCAGCCAUCAUUUAAAGAAAGCGUAAUAGCUCACUGGUCGAGUCGGCCUGCGCGGAAGAUGUAACGGGGCUAAACCAUGCACCGAAGCUGCGGCAGCGACACUAUGUGUUGUUGGGUAGGGGAGCGUUCUGUAAGCCUGCGAAGGUGUGCUGUGAGGCAUGCUGGAGGUAUCAGAAGUGCGAAUGCUGACAUAAGUAACGAUAAAGCGGGUGAAAAGCCCGCUCGCCGGAAGACCAAGGGUUCCUGUCCAACGUUAAUCGGGGCAGGGUGAGUCGACCCCUAAGGCGAGGCCGAAAGGCGUAGUCGAUGGGAAACAGGUUAAUAUUCCUGUACUUGGUGUUACUGCGAAGGGGGGACGGAGAAGGCUAUGUUAGCCGGGCGACGGUUGUCCCGGUUUAAGCAUGUAGGCUGGUUGUCCAGGCAAAUCCGGAUAAUCAAGGCUGAGGUGUGAUGACGAGGCACUACGGUGCUGAAGUAACAAAUGCCCUGCUUCCAGGAAAAGCCUCUAAGCAUCAGGUAACAUUAAAUCGUACCCCAAACCGACACAGGUGGUCAGGUAGAGAAUACCAAGGCGCUUGAGAGAACUCGGGUGAAGGAACUAGGCAAAAUGGUGCCGUAACUUCGGGAGAAGGCACGCUGGUGUGUAGGUGAAGUCCCUGCGGAUGGAGCUGAGACCAGUCGAAGAUACCAGCUGGCUGCAACUGUUUAUUAAAAACACAGCACUGUGCAAACACGAAAGUGGACGUAUACGGUGUGACGCCUGCCCGGUGCCGGAAGGUUAAUUGAUGGGGUUAUCCGUAAGGAGAAGCUCUUGAUCGAAGCCCCGGUAAACGGCGGCCGUAACUAUAACGGUCCUAAGGUAGCGAAAUUCCUUGUCGGGUAAGUUCCGACCUGCACGAAUGGCGUAAUGAUGGCCAGGCUGUCUCCACCCGAGACUCAGUGAAAUUGAACUCGCUGUGAAGAUGCAGUGUACCCGCGGCAAGACGGAAAGACCCCGUGAACCUUUACUAUAGCUUGACACUGAACAUUGAGCCUUGAUGUGUAGGAUAGGUGGGAGGCUUUGAAGCGUGGACGCCAGUCUGCGUGGAGCCAACCUUGAAAUACCACCCUUUAAUGUUUGAUGUUCUAACGUUGGCCCCUUACCGGGGUUGCGGACAGUGUCUGGUGGGUAGUUUGACUGGGGCGGUCUCCUCCUAAAGCGUAACGGAGGAGCACGAAGGUUAGCUAAUCCUGGUCGGACAUCAGGAGGUUAGUGCAAUGGCAUAAGCUAGCUUGACUGCGAGCGUGACGGCGCGAGCAGGUGCGAAAGCAGGUCAUAGUGAUCCGGUGGUUCUGAAUGGAAGGGCCAUCGCUCAACGGAUAAAAGGUACUCCGGGGAUAACAGGCUGAUACCGCCCAAGAGUUCAUAUCGACGGCGGUGUUUGGCACCUCGAUGUCGGCUCAUCACAUCCUGGGGCUGAAGUAGGUCCCAAGGGUAUGGCUGUUCGCCAUUUAAAGUGGUACGCGAGCUGGGUUUAGAACGUCGUGAGACAGUUCGGUCCCUAUCUGCCGUGGGCGCUGGAGAAUUGAGGGGGGCUGCUCCUAGUACGAGAGGACCGGAGUGGACGCAUCACUGGUGUUCGGGUUGUCAUGCCAAUGGCACUGCCCGGUAGCUAAAUGCGGAAGAGAUAAGUGCUGAAAGCAUCUAAGCACGAAACUUGCCCCGAGAUGAGUUCUCCCUGAGACUUUAAGUCUCCUGAAGGAACGUUAAAGACGAUGACGUUGAUAGGCCGGGUGUGUAAGCGCAGCGAUGCGUUGAGCUAACCGGUACUAAUGAACCGUGAGGCUUAACCUU